UACGUAGGGUGCGAGCGUUGUCCGGAUUUAUUGGGCGUAAAGAGCUCGUAGGCGGCUUGUCGCGUCGGAUGUGAAAGCCCGGGGCUUAACUCCGGGUCUGCAUUCGAUACGGGCAGGCUAGAGUGUGGUAGGGGAGAUCGGAAUUCCUGGUGUAGCGGUGAAAUGCGCAGAUAUCAGGAGGAACACCGGUGGCGAAGGCGGGUCUCUGGGCCGAUACUGACGCUGAGGAGCGAAAGCGUGGGGAGCAAACAGG
RNAcentral lists this ribosomal RNA (253 nucleotides) under uncultured bacterium. Its description in RNAcentral is "partial 16S ribosomal RNA". It matches the Rfam family "Bacterial small subunit ribosomal RNA", at positions 524 to 776 of the family's 1533-position model. The record is from RNAcentral.